This 406-nucleotide ribosomal RNA is filed under the name uncultured bacterium. Its description in RNAcentral is "partial 16S ribosomal RNA". It matches the Rfam family "Bacterial small subunit ribosomal RNA", at positions 29 to 526 of the family's 1533-position model. The record is from RNAcentral.
AUUGAACGCUGGCGGCAGGCCUAACACAUGCAAGUCGAACGAGUGGCGGACGGGUGAGUAAUGUCUGGGAAACUGCCUGAUGGAGGGGGAUAACUACUGGAAACGGUAGCUAAUACCGCAUACCAUCAGAUGUGCCCAGAUGGGAUUGGCGUGUUGGUGGGGUAACGGCUCACCAAGGCGACGAUCCCUAGCUGGGCUGAGAGGAUGACCAGUCAACCUGGAACUGAGAAACGGUCCAGACUCCGACGGGAGGCAGCAGUGGGGAAUAUUGCACAAUGGGCGCAAGCCUGAUGCAGCCAUGCCGCGUGUGUGAAGAAGGCCUUCGGGUUGUAAAGUACUUUCAGCGGGGAGGCGUGACCCGCAGAAGAAGCACCGGCUAACUCCGGGCCAGCCGCCGCGGUAAUAC